This 692-nucleotide long non-coding RNA is filed under the name Salmo salar (Atlantic salmon). RNAcentral describes it as "lncRNA (ENSSSAG00000098907.1)". Lineage: Eukaryota; Metazoa; Chordata; Actinopteri; Salmoniformes; Salmonidae. The record is from RNAcentral.
GUUGGGGUUAGGUACUGUGGUGUUGGGGUUAGGUACUGUGGUGUUGGAGUUAGGUACUGUGGUGUUGGGGUUAGGUACUGUGGUGUUGGGUUAGGUACUGUGGUGUUGGGGUUAGGUACUGUACUGUUGUGUUGGGGUUAGGUACUGUACUGUGGUGUUGGGGUUAGGUACUGUGGUGUUGUGGUUAGGUACUGUGGUGUUGGGGUUAGGUACUGUGGUGUUGGAGUUAGGUUCUGUGGUGUUGGGGUUAGGUACUGUACUGUGGUGUUGGAGUUAGGUACUGUACUGUGGUGUUGGGGUUAGGUACUGUGGUGUUGGGGUUAGGUACUGUGGUGUUGGAGUUAGGUACUGUGGUGUUGGGGUUAGGUACUGUGGUGUUGGGUUAGGUACUGUGGUGUUGGGGUUAGGUACUGUACUGUGGUGUUGGAGUUAGGUACUGUGGUGUUGGGGUUAGGUACUGUACUGUGGUGUUGGGGUUAGGUACUGUGGUGUUUGGGGUUAGGUACUGUGGUGUUGGGGUUAGGUACUGUGGUGUUGGGGUUAGGUACUGUGGUGUUGGAGUUAGGUUCUGUGGUGUUGGGGUUAGGUACUGUACUGUGGUGUUGGGGUUAGGUACUGUACUGUGGUGUUGGGUUUAGGUACUGUGGUGUUGGGGUUAGGUACUGUGGUGUUGGGGUUAGGUACUGUGGUGU